CUUCACCUGUGUGUCUUGUUGUAACACCCCUCCCCCCCUUUGAAUUUCUUACCCCUAAUGUGCUCUAGUGUAUUUUAUUCCCCCUUUGUAUAUAUCUUACUUCCCACCACAUCCUUUGUGUGUCUCUUCCCUCCAGCCCCUUUCUGGGUCUCUUUCUUACCCCAGCCCCUUUCUGGGUCUCUUUCUUACCCCAGCCCCUAUCUGGGUCUCUUUCUUACCCCAGCCCCUUUCUGGGUCUCUUUCUUAACCCAGCCCCUAUCUGGGUCUCUUUCUUACCCCAGCCCCUUUCUGGGUCUCUUUCUUACCCCAGCCCCUUUCUGGGUCUCUUUCUUACCCCAGCCCCUUUCUGUGUCUCCUUCUUACCCCAGCCCCUUUCUAUGUCUCUUUCUUACCCCAGCCCCUUUCUGGGUCUCUUUCUUACCCCAGCCCCUUUCUGGGUCUCUUUCUUACCCCAGCCCCUUUCUGGGUCUCUUUCUUACCCCAGCCCCUAUCUGGGUCUCUUUCU
Non-coding RNA from Pelobates cultripes (western spadefoot toad), 505 nucleotides. The record is from the annotation of a GenBank genome assembly. NCBI's taxonomy places the organism in Eukaryota, Metazoa, Chordata, Amphibia, Anura, Pelobatidae.